UACGGAGGGUGCAAGCGUUAUCCGGAAUUAUUGGGCGUAAAGAGCUCGUAGGCGGUGUGUCACGUCGGCCGUGAAAACCUGCAGCUUAACUGUGGGCGUGCGGUCGAUACGGGCAUCACUGGAGUUCGGCAGGGGAGACUGGAAUUCCUGGUGUAGCGGUGAAAUGCGCAGAUAUCAGGAGGAACACCGGUGGCGAAGGCGGGUCUCUGGGCCGAUACUGACGCUGAGGAGCGAAAGCGUGGGGAGCAAACAGG
RNAcentral lists this ribosomal RNA (254 nucleotides) under uncultured bacterium. RNAcentral's name for it is "partial 16S ribosomal RNA". It matches the Rfam family "Bacterial small subunit ribosomal RNA", at positions 524 to 776 of the family's 1533-position model. The record is from RNAcentral.